GACGAACGCUGGCGGCGUGCCUAAUACAUGCAAGUCGAACGCUUUUUCUUUCACCGGAGCUUGCUCCACCGAAAGAAAAAGAGUGGCGAACGGGUGAGUAACACGUGGGUAACCUGCCCAUCAGAAGGGGAUAACACUUGGAAACAGGUGCUAAUACCGUAUAACACUAUUUUCCGCAUGGCAGAAAGUUGAAAGGCGCUUUUGCGUCACUGAUGGAUGGACCCGGGGUGCAUUAGCUAGUUGGUGAGGUAACGGCUCACCAAGGCCACGAUGCAUAGCGGACCGGAGAGGUUGAUCGGCCACGCUGGGACUGGGACACGGCCCAGACUCCUGCGGGAGGUAGCAGUAGGGAAUCUUCGGCAAUGGACGAAAGUCUGACCGAGCAACGCCGCGUGAGUGAAGAAGGUUUUCGGAUCGUAAAACUCUGUUGUUAGAGAAGAACAAGGAUGAGAGUAAAACGUUCAUCCCUUGACGGUAUCCAACCAGAAAGCCACGGCUAACUACGUGCCAGCCGCCGCCGUAA
This 523-nucleotide ribosomal RNA is filed under the name uncultured bacterium. RNAcentral's name for it is "partial 16S ribosomal RNA". It matches the Rfam family "Bacterial small subunit ribosomal RNA", at positions 28 to 523 of the family's 1533-position model. The record is from RNAcentral.